Molecule: ribosomal RNA, 438 nt
Filed under: Hexagrammos lagocephalus (rock greenling)
Lineage: Eukaryota; Metazoa; Chordata; Actinopteri; Perciformes; Hexagrammidae
Description: partial 12S rRNA
Rfam family: Bacterial small subunit ribosomal RNA
Source: RNAcentral
CAAAGGCUUGGUCCUGACUUUACUAUCAACUUUAGCCAAACUUACACAUGCAAGUAUCCGCACCCCUGUGAGAAUGCCCUACAGUCCCCCGCCCGGGAACAAGGAGCUGGUAUCAGGCACAUCCUAUUAAGCCCAUGACACCUUGCUUAGCCACACCCUCAAGGGAACUCAGCAGUGAUAAACAUUAAGCCAUAAGUGAAAACUUGACUUAGUUAAAGCUAAGAGGGCCGGUAAAACUCGUGCCAGCCACCGCGGUUAUACGAGAGGCCCAAGUUGAUAGACACCGGCGUAAAGAGUGGUUAAGUUAAAACCUCACACUAAAGCCAAACAUCUUCAAGACUGUUAUACGCAACCGAAGACAGGAAGUUCAACCACGAAAGUGGCUUUAUUUGAUCUGAACCCACGAAAAGCUACGGAACAAACUAGGAUUAGAUACCC